RNAcentral lists this ribosomal RNA (497 nucleotides) under uncultured bacterium. RNAcentral's name for it is "partial 16S ribosomal RNA". It matches the Rfam family "Bacterial small subunit ribosomal RNA", at positions 28 to 507 of the family's 1533-position model. The record is from RNAcentral.
GAUGAACGCUGGCGGCGUGCCUAAUACAUGCAAGUCGAGCGAACGGACGAGAAGCUUGCUUCUCUGAUGUUAGCGGCGGACGGGUGAGUAACACGUGGAUAACCUACCUAUAAGACUGGGAUAACUUCGGGAAACCGUAGCUAAUACCGGAUAAUAUUUUGAACCGCAUGGUUCAAAAGUGAAAGACGGUCUUGCUGUCACUUAUAGAUGGAUCCGCGCUGCAUUAGCUAGUUGGUAAGGUAACGGCUUACCAAGGCAACGAUGCAUAGCCGACCUGAGAGGGUGAUCGGCAACACUGGAACUGAGACACGGUCCAGACUCCUACGGGAGGCAGCAGUAGGGAAUCUUCCGCAAUGGGCGAAAGCCUGACGGAGCAACGCCGCGUGAGUGAUGAAGAUCUUCGGAUCGUAAAACUCUGUUAUUAGGGAAGAACAUAUGUGUAAGUAACUGUGCACAUCUUGACGGUACCUAAUCAGAAAGCCACGGCUAACUACGUG